Long non-coding RNA from Rhea pennata, 360 nucleotides. RefSeq lists it as uncharacterized. NCBI's taxonomy places the organism in Eukaryota, Metazoa, Chordata, Aves, Rheiformes, Rheidae. The record is from RefSeq and is a predicted model, not a curated record. The transcript has 3 exons.
GAAACGAAGAGGAGAAACUCCUCGGCGAUCCCGCGCACCGCCGAGCCCUCGACACGCAGCCAGCUGCUCGGCGGACGGGGAACUGCAACUCUCACACCAUCGCGGCUCCCCAGGGUCCCUGCAACCGGCGGUGCCGGACAGCCCGGUCAGCUGCCACAGCGCAGGGUCCGAUGUGAACAAGGGCGGUUUGCUCAGCCCUAAAAGCGACGGGGGAGCUCGCCGAGGCCGCGAUCCUCUGCCCCGGGGGGGUCAGCCAGGUCGCCACCAACUGGGCUGGGUGCGCGGCACCGGCCGGGCAGAGGCACGGCGGAGCCCGCGAUGCGCCGGGGGAAGGAGAAGUUUUAGCGAGCCCUCCUGGGC